UGGGGGGAUAUUGGACAAUGGGGGAAACCCUGAUCCAGCGAUGCCGCGUGAGGGAAGAAGGUUUUCGGAUUGUAAACCUCUGUGGACAGGGACGAUAAUGACGGUACCUGUUUAGAAAGCCACGGCUAACUACGUGCCAGCAGCCGCGGUAACACGUAAGGUGCGAGCGUUGUUCGGAAUCAUUGGGCGUAAAGGGCAUGUAGGCGGUCUGUCAAGCCAGGCGUGAAAGCCAGGGGCUCAACCCCUGAACUGCGCUUGGAACUGGCGGACUGGAGUCGCUGAGGGGGAACCGGAAUUCCUGGUGUAGGGGUGAAAUCUGUAGAUAUCAGGAAGAACACCGAUGGCGAAGGCAGGUUUCCAGCAGACGACUGACGCUGAGGUGCGAAGGUGCGGGGAGCAAACAGGAUUAGAUACCC
RNAcentral lists this ribosomal RNA (416 nucleotides) under uncultured Treponema sp. RNAcentral describes it as "bacterial SSU rRNA". It matches the Rfam family "Bacterial small subunit ribosomal RNA", at positions 354 to 787 of the family's 1533-position model. The record is from RNAcentral. Lineage: Bacteria; Pseudomonadati; Spirochaetota; Spirochaetia; Treponematales; Treponemataceae.